AUUGAACGCUGGCGGCAGGCUUAACACAUGCAAGUCGAGCGAGCGGCGGACGGGUGAGCAAUGUCUGGGAAACUGCCUGAUGGAGGGGGACAACUACCGGAAACGGUAGCUAAUACCGUACACCUUAAGCUGUGCCCAGAUGGGAUUAGCUAGUAGGUGGGGCAAUGGCUCACCAAGGCGAUGAUCCGUAGCUGGUCUGAGAGGAUGACCAGCCACACUGGAACUGGGAGACGGUCCAGACUCCUACGGGAGGCAGCAGUGGGGAAUAUUGGACAAUGGGCGAAAGCCUGAUGCAGCCAUGCCGCGUGUGUGAAGAAGGCCUUCGGGUUGUAAAGCACUUUCAGCGAGGAGGCGUUACUCGCAGAAGAAGCACCGGCUAACUCCGUGCCAGCAGCCGCGGUAAUAC
This 406-nucleotide ribosomal RNA is filed under the name uncultured bacterium. RNAcentral describes it as "partial 16S ribosomal RNA". It matches the Rfam family "Bacterial small subunit ribosomal RNA", at positions 30 to 526 of the family's 1533-position model. The record is from RNAcentral.